GAUGAAGAACGUAGCGAAAUGCGAUACGUAAUGUGAAUUGCAGAAUUCAGUGAAUCAUCGAAUCUUUGAACGCACAUUGCGCCUGCCAGCACUCAGGCAGGCAUGCCUGUUCGAGCGUCAUUUCAACCAUCAAGCCCUAGGCUUGCGUUGGAGCCCUGCGGCUGCCGCAGGCCCCUAAAAGCAGUGGCGGGCUCGCUAUCACACCGAGUGCAGUAGAUUACUCUUCGCUCAGGGCGUGUGGCGGGUUCCAGCCGUGAAACCCCCUACUUCUCAAGGUUGACCUCGGAUCAGGUAGGAAUACCCGCUGAACUUAAGCAUAUCAAUAAGCGGAGGA
RNAcentral lists this unclassified non-coding RNA (334 nucleotides) under soil metagenome. RNAcentral's name for it is "partial contains 5.8S ribosomal RNA, internal transcribed spacer 2, and large subunit ribosomal RNA". The stretch from base 1 to 120 matches the Rfam family "5.8S ribosomal RNA", at positions 35 to 154 of the family's 154-position model. The record is from RNAcentral.